GUGUAACGUACACAAUGGUGUAACCCCCACCGAAUAAAAAAGACAAGCAAACCUAGACAGGACUGAAAACCUCUUUUCGUUGCUUAUCGCUGCACCGUUGUUUUUCAAAGACAAAAUCAUGCAUUGCAUAUGAUUUAAAAUUGAUAUUGACGCGAAAAAAUAGUUAGGGUAUUCACAAGGUGUCAUAGUGUAUCAUAUCGUCAUAUCGUCAUAUUGUCAUAUUUUUUAUGACUGUCAUACCAACACUGUUGCUGUUUCACAUGCAAAAUUAAAAUAUGACUGAUACAACACUGCGUGGUAUGUUUCUUGAGUUCGCUAUUCUAUCAGCUGUAUUUGUUUACUUUCUUAUUAUUGGCGUUUAAUUGUUUGAAAUUAAUAAAUUUAAUAAAUUUCGUUAUUAAUAUGGAAGGAAACCACGAUAUUCAGUGUAAAACAAAACGCCGCCGUUUCAACCCGGUACAUAAGUGGAAUGCGGCAGAAGAAAAAGCGCUUGUGUAGUUGCUAAUGGAAAAUAGAAGUUUCGAGAAACCAACGGCUCAAAGCUUUUAUGGUCGUUUCAUCGAAGACACGCAGCUGACGGUAGGAUGGAAAGUAGUGCGCGCAAAAGUACGCAAUAUGCGCACUAAUUAUAACAAAGCAAAGGGGUGGGAAGGGUCGACAGGCACAGGAAGUAUGGAAGGCGACACAAAUAAAAAGUAAAUUAUUUUAAGGAAAUCUCUUUUUUUUUUUAAUUGUGGCCAUUAUUUUUUUUUUAUUUGAAAUUGAAAAAAUUAAAUUACAAAUGCAGGAGAGGUUGGCAAUGGAAGAGCUUAGGCUAAAAUAUAAAUAAUUUUACAAUGCACUACAUUUUUAGUUCACUUUUGUUAUGAAUUUAUUUUUAUUAUUAUGUGUUUUUUUAUGUUUUAAAUGAAGUUUUUAUGUAUAAGUUUUGUUGUGA
Molecule: long non-coding RNA, 937 nt
Organism: Zeugodacus cucurbitae (melon fly)
Lineage: Eukaryota; Metazoa; Arthropoda; Insecta; Diptera; Tephritidae
Exons: 3
Source: RefSeq, a predicted model, not a curated record